ACUUUUGACCUCAAAUCAGGUAGGACUACC
RNAcentral lists this ribosomal RNA (30 nucleotides) under Physalacria maipoensis. RNAcentral's name for it is "partial 28S large subunit ribosomal RNA". Lineage: Eukaryota; Fungi; Basidiomycota; Agaricomycetes; Agaricales; Physalacriaceae. The record is from RNAcentral.